AUGAAGAGAAUUUAUGACAGCAAAACUGGGAUCCUAAUGUUCUAAGUCCUUUUUUAUCUAUUUUCCUUGUUGCAGUGACUUCUUUUAGGUUGUUUAGGAGCAGCCUACCUACUAUUAGCUUGCUGGUGUUCAGCACAUACACAUGGUCUAGACACAUUUGAAGUGCUGGUUUUAGCAGCAACUCAUCAGAGGGAAAGGUGUUAAAUCAUCUUGAAGAUUUUGGUUUCUUUAGGCCUAAGCGUGUGACUUUCACAGCUCUGUGUCUCUGGCAUUGCAUUAAGUAUUGUUGCUCAUUUUGUGGUAUGGAGAACCAUCUAAGAAUGUUGAUAUUAAGAUUUUCUCUCCCUCUCUAGAUACAGAUAACAGUACUGUAGUCUCAAAUAGUCUGGAUCUGCUAUAGGAAAGUCAGUGAAAUCACUUGUGUAACAGAAUGGCUGUUAAAUUUCAAAAUAUUUGUCAGCUUCUGCCAUCUGAUGAUCAUCUUGACUCUAGAGAAAGCUCCAUUCCUCCCUCCAAAGAAAACCACCAAAAAACAAGAGAAGCUAUAUCUGUUCAGCUCAGCAAGUCUUCUAAAGGUGUCUCUGUCUAG
RNAcentral lists this long non-coding RNA (589 nucleotides) under Lonchura striata (white-rumped munia). Its description in RNAcentral is "domestica (Bengalese finch) lncRNA (ENSLSDG00000008126.1)". Lineage: Eukaryota; Metazoa; Chordata; Aves; Passeriformes; Estrildidae. The record is from RNAcentral.